This 8466-nucleotide long non-coding RNA is filed under the name Triticum aestivum (bread wheat). RNAcentral's name for it is "long non-coding RNA (TAES_LNC016068)". The record is from RNAcentral. Lineage: Eukaryota; Viridiplantae; Streptophyta; Magnoliopsida; Poales; Poaceae.
CUGUGAGUAUCCAGAAAUAAACGAUUUAAAACAAACCCGAUACCUGUUGGAUACUUGGUGGGUGCUUCUUGGAUACGGCCCAGCCCACAUAACAAGAGAUAACGAGUAACCAGGCAACCCUAGUCCGCCGACGCCCCAUCCUUUCCCUCCCCCUCUUUCCUUCCGAGCUCCACAGGCCACAGCAGGCAGCGGCUGCUCACCCAGCGGCGGCAGCAGGCCGGCGGCGAGCCUACGAGGAGCUGCUCCUCCUUCCUCACCGACUCCCCGUCGUCCUCGUCUCCGACUCCCCCUCACCCUCAGCCCCUCUCACGCAGCAGCCCAGACCUCUUGUCAAGCUCGAUCCUGGUGGCAGCUCAUCGGUUGAGGUCGGCACAACCACCAACGUAUGUACACUGAGUUGUUUAGCCGCCAGCCACCGUAGCUAAGCUCACUUCCUCUCUGUCUUCUCCUUUCUCCUCUCAUGAUGUAUCUCCUCUGACCCCCUCCUCCAGAUGGCUCCUCCUGCUGAACCUACCAAUCUAAGGGCUCCAUUGUGGAGCCAUGUUACAAUUAUAGAGAAAUCACCAGCUGAGGUUGUAAUGGCUCGAAUUGCAUUAGCACAAAACAAGACAAAGAAUGUGUCCUUGCCUAGUGAUUAAGCAAGUUUUGCUUCAUCAAAUGCAAGCACUGAGAAGAAGAGGGGAGAAGGACCAAAUACUACAUUACAGAAUGUUUGGUGAGUGAUUUACGCGAGCAAUUGGAUUAAAAAAUUGCAAGAUCUUUUUAUUCUUGAGAUGUGCAAUAAAUGUACAGCCAAACCAAUUAUUUCAUUUUCAUGCAUCUAUAUGAUUAUCUGUUGUUUCUAACUUCUAUACUUUUUUGUUUUGAAUUUAAAAGAUAGUAAAACGUAUCUCCGUAUUGGCACUUUUUCAAAAUGGCGAAUUUACGUAUCAGUAUCGGUGCUUCAUAGGUUGCAUCCAACAUAAAAUCCUGCCAUUCAGCAACCUACCUACCACGGGAGUCACAUGCACCACAGAUGAAUAUUAUUAACACAAUGGUUAUGCGCGCAGCACUCCAACUUGCUGUACGAAUUCAGGCCACUUAUUCAAUUAUUCUAGCCUAAUUUAUCAUGAGGCUAACAGCAUCAAUCAUGCAUAACAAAGGCGGUUAUGACCAUCAUUCAGUGCCAUUCUUUCUUUCUUUUUUUGGUCAAACAGUACUAUGUUGCAAUUGAGGUCUCCCAAGGCCUCACACUUGGAUCACCGGGUUUCUGCUAUGAUACAGGCAUCCCACCACUGCCCUCUGCUUUAGUUCAGGCCUGCGCCAACUAUUCACAAGACACGUACAUGAGCAUAACUAUGGAGCAACGGGCUUUUGGAUGGCUCUCCUCUCUCUCCCUCCCGCUCCUCUCUCCCCCCUCCCCUGCCCCUCCGCCGCCGUCCCUUGCUCCUCUGUGGUCGUCCCGGGCCCUGGUCCGCCCCCUCCCCCAAGUCUGGUUCUUCUCCCUCGGUACGCUCACCGGUGUCGCGGGCUCCACUUCCUCCCCCAGCGUCGUUUGGCUCUCGCUUUUGGGCCCUCAAUCCGAUGAGGACUGCUCGUCGGACGAGGAGGCCUUGUGCUCGCCCUCGCCGGUCCUUCCUGUGCGGACCUCCUCUCCGUCCGCUGCGCCCCGUUCCCGCAAGUUUGGGCCUGGAGGUCGGGGCCGGCCGGUGCCGCCCCCGUCGUCUGACGCUGGCUGGGUCCGGGUCUCUCGCCGCCGUCGCAAGUCUGGUAAGUUUUCCCUUCCCUCGCCCGGAUCUGGGAUCCUGAGUGCCGCUCCGGCCAUGGUUUGCCCUCCCUCUCCUCCCUCUGCCUCUGCUCCGUCGUCUCCGGCGACGGCGGCGGCGGGAUGCGUCAUGGAGACGGCGGCGCCUGCCCUAGAUCUGGUCUCCCACCCGUUGACUAGUGGGUCACGUGGUGGGCUGGUCGCUGGGCCUAUUGGGCCUCCUGGUUCUUCUCUGGCUAUCCAGCCCGCUCCUCCUAUUCUGUGAUCAGUUGACGAUUUUCCCCCCUUCCUCUUGGGGGCCCGUGCGGCUCCCGCUUGCCUGUGUCCUCCCUCCCCCCUCCCCCGGCCCAUGUGGCCCGCCAGGCCCAAGUGGUUUGGCUCGGUCUGGCUAUAUAUGGGUCCCCCGCGGCUCCGUUCCCCCCUUGCUAGGGUUUCCGACUUCCGCCGCUGACUUGCGUAGACACCGUGCCCCCAUUCGCCGUCUCGUCAGAUCCACCCCUCCCCCUCCCCUCCUCCUCUCCUUCGUGGCGGCUCUCUCCAUGGACAAGUCCAGGGGCUCGUCUUGUGAUGUUGUCUCGGGUAGCAAGCGCCAGCGUGAGGACUUGCCGGGCUCGGGUGUGGAUCUGGAGCUCGAGGCCUCCUUGCGUUUCAAGCUGGAGGCGGAGCAGGUGGCUCGCGAUCGUGCUGCGUGGGCUGCUGGUCCGGAGUCGCUCCAGCAAGGCUCUGGAUCUGGGCCGUCUCUCCCUCCGGCGCUGGAUCCAUGGGAGGCGGCGGCUGGUGGGGGGGCGCUCGUCCUCGUCGAGCUCUUUGCCUGGCCAGGGUGCGGGGCGUCGCGCUCCUGCCCCGGUGCGGUAGGUCCCUCGCCCUGUAGGCGCUGGCGCUGGGCCUCGCCCCCCUCCGCGGUCCUUCGCCGGCCCGGUCCGGCGCCCUGUUGGCCCUCACCCUGGCGCGUCUUCGUCGGGGGUGGGGGAUGGCAUCCUUCCUCCUCCUCCCUCCCUUCCGAUGCAUCGCCCUAUCCCUGCAACCCUGAGCAACCCCUCGGCUCUUACCUGUUUUGCCUGUCAUCAGCCCGGGCAUUUUCAAUCCAGAUGCACCAAUCCCCCAUUCUGCCUGAUUUGCCGUUCAUAUGGGCACCUCACUGUCAACUGUCAGAAUCGUCAGAAGCCUCCUUCCUCCAAUUUGGCUCGGGCCUCCCUGGAUGCUCCUUUUUCGCCUUGGACUGUGAUCUACCUGUUCUGGUGGCGGCCCCCUCCCUUUCCAAUGCCACCAUUAUCACGGUGCAAGAGCAAAAGAUCUCCUCCCAAACUCUGCUUGAAGGGCUUCGUAUCUGGGAUGUCGAAGGAUGGGACUGGCAAGUGAAUCAAUUGUCAGACUUUGAGUUCUCUGUUGUUUUCCCCUCCAAGGACUGCCUCCGUAUGAUUGCGUCGUGCACCAGCUUCACCCUCCCCCUCAAUUAGCUGGUGGUGUCGGUGAAGCCUGCGUCCUGCGGUGGAAAAGCUGUUGGCCCUCUCUCAGAUUUGGGUUUUGGUGGAUGAUGUGCCAGUGGAGCUCCGCUCGUCUUCCUUUCUGAUGGCCUUUGGCGCUCUGAUUGGUAAACCAGUGGAAGUGGACGCGGAAUCGCUGGAUAAGGUUGGUCCUGCUCGUAUCAAGAUCUGGUGUGUUGACCCACUCUGUGUCCGCGGAUCGAUUGAUGUGUUUCCCUCGCCCAAUGGUGUCAGAAUGCGUGUUCGGGUGGAAGGAGCUGAAGCCUUCCACCACCAUCCCCCCUCCCCCUCAUCCAACCUCUCGGAUAAGCAUGAUAAGAAUGGGGAUGGUUCUAUGGGUGGGCAGAACCCUAGUGGGGGUUCUGAUCUGUGCUUCACUCAAUCCGAAUGGGACGGGCUGGCUGAAUCUGAGCGGGAAUUGUUCAAGUCUCAAGCGCCUGUUGAUAAGGCCCCUCGCGAGGCAGAGGCCGCCCCUCUUUCUGCCCCAGUGAUGCAUGCUGAAGAUGAUUUGUUGCGCAAGAAGCCGGCUGCCACGGUCACCCCCAUCUCCAGGGCCUGCUCCAACCUCCCGGGCCGCCCUCUCUCUCCCACGCGCUCGGGUAUUGAGGAUCUGCCCCUCACCCCUGGCCGUGCUGAUGAUGAUUCGCAAUCCAAGAGGAAGAAGAAAUCUUCGGUGCGGAAAUUCUCUGCGAAGAGCAAGGCUUCUUCGGGCUCUAAGCAGUCGAUGACGGGAGUUUGCCGUCGCCUCGACAAGGAUCUUGCCUUGAUGUCGCGUUCGGGUCCUGCUCCGGCCUCUCCCAUGGCUCGCUCUCCCUCGAUCCGGUCGCCUACCUCCACGGCUCGCAAGGGCAGGCGGGUGUGUGACGCGGGUGAAUCGGUGAUGGCGCGGGCGGAGCGGCGGGCGGCUGCUAAGGAUCGUCCUCCUUGAGGUAAUAAUAUUGGUCCAAUCCCUCCCCCUUCCCCGAUUCGGCUUGUUCUACCUCCUCUUUCUGAUGAUCACCUGUUAAAUAUCAUGUCUGAUGUGGGCGUUUCUGUCGACUCCGAGCUAGGCUCUCCUUCCUCCCUCCUUUCUUCUAUUCGGGCCAAUGAGGUGGCCCAGGCUGCCAUUGCUAAGGCCAAAGAGGCUGUUGCCUCUACGGCUACAGUUUCAGUGAGUGUUGGGUCUCAGGGGGAUGGCGUGGUGGUUGGUAGUGGCCAACCCCAGCCAAGCUAUUCUAGGAGGGGCAUUGCCAAAAGAUCAAAACCCUGUGUAGCCCCUAGCAGGUCGAGUCUCCACAUCAAAAAUCUUUCCUAUAAAUGAAAGCCUUAUUUUGGAACAUCAGGGGGUUUGGUGCUAGGGGACGCCGAGACCAGAUUAGUGAUUUAGUGCGUGGGAAUAAUAUUGACAUUGUUGGGCUAGUCGAAACCUUUAGAGAAUCCUUCUCUCCCAAUGAACUCUCUGCGAUCGCGGGCAUGGACAGAUUUGAUUGGCACGUGCUUCCUACUUCGGGCCAUUCGGGAGAGAUCUUGAUUGGCUCCAAAAACGAUGUCUUUGACUUCAUGGCUUUUGAUCAUGGCAUUUUUUGGGCUAGCACGAUAGUUUAUCAUAAAGUUCUUAACACUCUGUGUGAAUUUAUUGUGGUAUAUGGCCCUGCUGAUCAUUCGCUGUCCUCUCAGUUCCCGGAUGAGCUCUCUGCUAAGAUCGAGGCAUGUAAUAUACCGAUAGUUAUCGGUUGUGACUUUAAUCUUCUUCGCUCCCCCUCGGACAAAAGCAAUGGCAAUUUCUCCUGGCCUCUGGCUAAUGCCUUCAACAACUUCAUUAGCUCCAGUGCUAUCCGCAAGCUUCCUAGGGUGGGGGCCCGCUUUACUUGGUCUAACCAUCAAGCUAUCUCGAUUAGAUCUGUGCUAGAUCGAGUGUUCAUUUGUUCCAGUUGGGACUCUCUUUUUCCUCGGGCUUCCCUUCUUGCUAAAAGUCUCGUGGGCUCCGACCAUACCCCUCUCCUUCUUCACGCUGGGAUGCAUCAAGAUAGACCACCCUCUAGAUUCCAAUUUGAUGCUUCCUGGCUGCUCGUCGAAGGGUUUAAUGACAUGUUGGCUACUAAGAUCCUUAACCUCUUGGCCCCAAAUCCCCGCUCCUUUGGUCCUAUGAAUGACUGGCAUUCCUGUUCCUAUGAACUGUGAAAAUUCCUUAGAGGUUGGUCCCGUAACCACGCUGCGGAGGAACGUAGGUCGAAGAAUGCUCUUGAAUCCCAGAUCAUGGACCUAGACCGCACGGCCGAUACUUUGGGUCUCUCCGAUGAUGGGUGGGCUCUGCGCUAUAAUCUAGAGGCCGCCUUGAUGCAGUUGCAUCAUCAGGCAGAAGUGUAUUGGCGCCAGCGUAGCACGUUAAAUUGGACGCUAAAAGGGGAUUCCCCUACUGCGUAUUUCUUCGCCAUCUCUAAUGGUCGAAGGAGGCGAUGUUGUAUUAACAACCUGAUUAUUAAUGGUGCUCGGUCCUCGGACCAAUCCGUGAUCCUCUCUCAUGUGGUGGACUUCUUCUCUUCGCUUCUAGGGGCCAAACCUCCUUGCGGCUUCUCUAUCUCUCCCCCCCUGUGGGACCAUAAUAUGAAAAUUUCGGCCGAAGAGAACGAAGCCUUGAUGGUGCCCCUAUCUAAUAAGGAAAUUUGGGAUGUGGUUAACUCUGCCAACCCUAAUGAUGCUUCGGGGCCGGAUGGAUUCUCGAUCCCCUUCUUCAGAAAAUUCUAGCCGCAGUUGCGACAGUUGGUCUAUCAGGUUAUUCAGGGCUUUUGUCUGGGUACCAUUGACAUAUCUCACCUCAAUUAUGCGGUGAUCACCUUGAUUCCUAAAGUUAAAGGUGCUGAGCUGAUUUCCCAGUUCAGGCCUAUUGCGCUGAUCAAUAAUUUCGCCAAGCUUCCAGCUAAGGGUUUUGCAACACGCCUCUCCCCUGUUGCUCAUCGAGUUAUCAGCCCGUCCCAAUCUGCUUUCAUCAAAGGGUGUUUCAUUUUAGAUGGUAUUCUCUGUCUCCAUGAGAUCGUUCAUGACCUGAGAUCUCGUAAAUCUAAAGUUGUCAUCCUCAAAUUGGACUUUGAGAAAGCCUAUGAUUCGGUUAGUUGGCCUUUCCUAAGAAAGGUUCUCUUAGCGAAAGGCUUCGAUGGGGCGUAUGUUCAUCGUAUUAUGCAGUUGGUCUCGGGAGGCCACACUGCGGUCUCUGUUAAUGGUCACGUUAGUAACUUCUUUGUCAAUGGCAGGGGCCUGCGACAGGGCGAUCUUGCCUCCCCUGUUUUGUUCAACUUCGUUGCCGAUGCCUUUUCCCGCAUCUUGUCUAGGGCUGCCCAUCAUGGUCAUAUCUUACCGGUGGUCUCUCAUCUAAUCCCGGAUGGUAUUACUCACCUGCAAUACGCUGAUGACACCAUUAUUAUGGUUGAAUUGAACGAUGAAUGCAUUGCCCACCUCAAGUUUAUCCUCCUGUGUUUUGAGGCGGUUUCGGGUCUGAAAAUUAACUUUUCUAAGAGUGAGGUCCUUAUCACUGGUGUUGAUGAUGCAGAGACUUUGAGAGUGGCUCGGCUCCUCAACUGUAACCUGGGCUCCUUUCCCUUUAAAUACCUCGGUCUUCCCAUUUCGCCAGAUCUGCUCCAUUGAAAAGACUUUGCGCCGGCUGUUUCUAAGGUGGGAAACAGGGUCCUUCCCUGGCGUGGUAGGUACAAUACCAAUGCCGGGAAAGUGGCUCUGAUCAAUGCUUGUCUGUCCUCCCUUCCUAUGUUUCUAAUGGGCUUUUAUCUUCUUUCGGCUGGUAUUCAUGCGGGUUUUGACAAGCACAGGGGUGCUUUUUAUUGGAACGCUGCUGACAACAGACGGAAAUAUAGGCCGGUUAAAUGGAAACUCAUGUGUAGGCCUAAAAACCUUGGGGGUUGGGCAUCAUCAACACGUCGGUCAUGAAUAAAUGCCUUAUGAUCAAAUGGUGGUGGAAGAUCAUGUCUAGUGGGGCCAGCUCCUUAUGGUACUCUAUUCUUAAAGCUAAAUAUUUUCCCCACUCUAGCCCGAUGUUUGCUAGGGCCCAGCGUGGAUUUCAAUUCUGGAAGGAUCUUAUUAAAGUUCAGCCUCUGUUCCUCGAACAUGUUAAGUUCAUCGUAGGAGAUGGUUCCUCGGUUCGUUUUUGGCUUGAUUGGUGGUGUGGAGAUACUCCCCUCUCUGUUAGAUUCCAUGUUCUUUUUUCGUAUUGCCCUAACCCAAACAUCUCCAUCGCGGAGGUGUCGGCUAAUAAUUGGGAUCUGGCUUUCCGCCGCUCCCUUUCUCCUGAAGAGUUGGAAGAUUGGCAAAGUCUCUCUACCUUAUUCCCCAUGCUCUCGGAGGUUCCGGAUUCAAUGGUUUGGCCUCACUCCACCUCGGGCCGCUUUUUGGUUAAAUCCUUGUACUCUAGACUUAUUGGUGGUGCCCCUUCUAAUAGAUUUUCUAGCAUUUGGCGUUCCCGUGUUCCUCCGAAAAUCAAAAUCUUUCUCUGGCAGGCCUUCAGAGGCCGUCUCCCCACGGCUGACCAAAUCCGUAAGCGGAAUGGGCUGGGCUCGGAGUUUUGUGCUCUCUGUGGGGCCUUGGAGGACACGAAUCACAUUUUUUCCCGUUGUGUGCUUGCUAAACUGGUAUAGAGAUGUGUCAGAUCCUGGCUCCAAGUUACUUGGAAUCCCUCCUCCUUUCUUGAGCUGAGAAGUCUUGCCAAUUCAUUGGCUGGUGUUACAAAGAGGGUCUUUUGGGUUGGUCUGGGUGCUAUAUGCUGGUCGCUUUGGACUAUUAGGAACAAAUUUAUGAUCGAACAUGUCUUUCCUACUAAAGCUGCUGAAUGUUUAUUUAAAUCAUGUAUCUUCUUGCAACAGUGGAGAUCAUUGACUAAGGGGGACGACCGGGAAGCUCUUGAUCUGCUCAUAUCUAAAAUCCGGGCCUCGGUGUCGUCUCUUAUUGGGCAGGAUCCUGAUGUCUGAUCUCGAAUUUUGGUGGCUCUUCGACUUAGUUGUUGGCUUUGUCUUUCCUUAAUUUCCGGCCUGCGUGCCGUGUCUGGCAGGGUGCCAUGUAUCCGUCUUACUUUCGUGCUCGUCGUUGAUUGCCCGUGUUUUGGUGAACUGGUGGUGGCUUCGUCCCCGUGUUGCUGUGUUGGCUCUGUAACUCUGCCGUGUGGCUUUAUUUUUAAAGUCGGGCUUAGGCCUUUUCUCUAAAAAGAAGCAUAACUAUGUGCUCCAUCCGUUCCUAAAUAUAAGUCUUUCUAGAGAUUCC